Podarcis lilfordi (Lilford's wall lizard) is the source of this 22918-nucleotide non-coding RNA. NCBI's taxonomy places the organism in Eukaryota, Metazoa, Chordata, Lepidosauria, Squamata, Lacertidae. The record is from the annotation of a GenBank genome assembly.
ACCUGGGCUGGUGUCACAAGCAAAGGAGGGGCCAAAGUGCUGUUGCACAAACCUCUUGGGUGCAUAUAAUGCCUGAAUAAAGACUAGGGUUGUCUCAAGGCAGUUUGCUGCCUGAGGUGAAGGACAAGAUGGCAGCCACCACUGUUCCACAUACAGAAGCCAUUUGGAACAGCAGUGAAAUCUUACUUCAGUACUGGCAAUGUGCUCCACUGUGCCUGAGGGCAACAGACCACAUACAGCUCUGUCCUCCAACAGAUGAAUAUGAGUCAGGGGGCUCAGGACAUGCAGUUUUCCCUGCCCACCCCCCUUACCUCACACUGUCUAAUAGUAGGGCUGGUCCUGGUAAAGAAGGAGCGUAGAGGAUUUUGAGGCAACAGGGGGGAAAGUUGGAGAAAAGUCGUCUCAGCUGCCUGCUGCCAAGGUAAAUAAUACAUCUUAAGUAUAUCAUACAGAUGUGAUUUGAUAUUUCCUUCUGUUAGUUCAGUUGACUGCUUUUGUGGCCUGCCUUCUAGAAUACUGUAGAAUGUUCUGGAGUAAUAUUUUUUUUCUUAACCAGGGGAGAGACAGAGAAGCACCACUGUAAACAAAACAAAACAAAAAAGAUGAACCUCCAGUGUGUUGAAAAAUAGUUCUUGAAAAUGUUGGCUUGAGGAUGGUGGACUUUCCCUUGAUUGAAAACCAAAAACUUACUAUUGCCCCUGGGGAACAGCACUGCUCAAAACAUGUCAAGCACAAAUGAGGUUCUUCUGAACCUACAUAUAUUGCAGUCUUUCCCUAAAUUGUGGGUGCAGGUGGGGAGUGAAGUGGAGAGAGAGAGAGAGAGAGAGAGAGAGAGAGAGAGAGCUGUGGGGCUCUGUUGUUCUUCUCCACACAGUUACAAUAAGGUAGGGAAACAUCUGAAAAAGGGUACAUUUCCAUCUGUGAACUGGACUCUGAUAGCCAUGUGUUCAGCAUCCUUUCUGGGAGACAUCUGCUUCUAACUAGCAACUGCUGGGAACUGCUGGUGAAUAUAACUGGCUUGCCCUUAUUGUGAACUUCUCUUGGGCGCUGCAUUGGCUACUAGCAGCAGAUUACUGAGGUAGCUGACUGACUCCGUGGCUUUCAUGUUUUUCUAGCUCUAGAGAGCCUUUUACUACCAUGACUUUGGUACCAAGAAACCCCGGGGAAAUCUGCUGAGGAAACUUUGAAUAUUGCAACGAGCUGUGAGACAGGAUGGAAAGGAGGUAGGGUGAGAUCUAGUGGUAGAUUCUGGGCAAUCAAGCAAGGGUUUCUGUUUUAUGAUUGUGUGACAAAAAACAGCAAAAACAAAAGAAACGACAGUAAGGCUCCCAUCUAAUUCUAAACUAGAUGGUUAAAACUAAGAAAUGAGAAGCUGUGAAGUCAGUUCUGCUUAGGGGUGGGUGAAUUUGCAUUUCUCUCAUUUUGCCAUCUUAAGUUUAGUUCUCCACAUUUCUACAUCACUUUGCGAUAUUUUUUUUUUUAAAUUCCACAUGAAAAUCCAUUAGCAUCUUAAUGCUAAUGUUACCAAACUGUAUGCAAAUAUUAUUUCCCCUAAUAUAAUGCAUUUUUUGCAUGUUCUCUGUAAUUUUUUUAUGCAUGCUUUACCCCGGUGUACACACUUUUCCUACACACUGUUUGGCUGGGGAACUGCAUUGCAAAAUUUAAAGAAGCGCAAAUUUUGAAAGAUGGCUGUGUUCCUGUGUUGCUUUUGGAACGUGCAGAUUUCCUAGCUUCACCUUCAAAUGUCAACUGAAUUGAAUUUCUUCUUUAGCCCUAGUUCUGGUACUGAAUACAAAAUGGCACCCUUUUCAUAUAUUCCGUAUUGCAUGUCCUCCUCUCUCUGUAUUUUGCACCUUACUCUGGCUGGAAGAUUUUGGGGGUCAAGUAAAAAGACAAGAUGGGGGUGCUGCAAGCUUGACAUCUGCCCAGUCCUGUCCUUGGAUUUUUGCUGUCACCUUAACAUGAACUGAGUGUGUCCUUAGAAGGCACCCAACCUUGUGCAUUUCAGAGGGAGUUUGUUGAUGUCGCUGGGCAAGCUGCCUUUCAGUAAAGCCGUUCUACCAUUACUGAUCUUUCCACUGAUGAAGAAACCUGGAACACAGUGUGAAAACCAGUACAGUAUUCUAAUAAACACCUUCUGUGUGUUACCUGUUGGGGCAAGCCACAAUUCGGAUUAUCCUAUCGUUUUCUGUAAAGUUGCUGCACAUUUUCUGCUCAGCUUGGUGUGCCAAGAAUGCUACAGGCUAACCUGGGCAGGUUUUUAAGAGACCUCUUGCUGCUUAUUGUCACAGCUGGUUACAUUAAGCCAGUGUGGUGUAAUGGUGAGAGUGUUGGACUAGGACAUGGGAGACCAGGGUUUGAAUCCCCACUCUGCCAUGAAUUUCAUUGGGUGACCUUGGGCCAGUCACUAUCCUUUAGCCUAACCUACCUCACAGGGUUGUUAUGAGGGUGAAAUGGGGAGGGAAGGGAACCAUGUCCACCACCUUGAGCUCCUUGGAAGAAAAAGGUGGUAUAUAAAUGCAAUAAACAAAUAAAACUUUUAAUACUGGUGGUAGUGAAGGUAUCAUGGGUAAUGGAAUUGAGGCCAAUGCUGGCUCUCCAAACCCUUCUGUCUUGCCCUAGGGCAGUGUUUCUCAACCUGUGGGCCUGUGGGUCCCCAGAUGUUGUUGGACUACAACUCCCAUCAUUCCUAGCCAGCAUGAUCAAUGGGCAGGGAUGAUGGGAGUUGUAGUCCAACAACAUCUGGGGACCCACAGGUUGAGAACCACUGCCCUAGGGGCUUUUGCCACACCACACUCCUACUCUGCAAGCUCCCUAGCUGUUUUUUCCUCACUGUAAUGUGUCACCGAACCUCUUGCUUCCCUGGAUGGAGAAUGCAAGUCCCCACACUCCCCUCCGUUGCUAGUAAGCAAGAACCACAAAUGUAGGAGCUGCUGUCAAUCAGUUUGGGCAAUACUGAGCUAGAGGGAGCUAUGUUCCGACUCAGAAUUAAUACCCUUCAACAUUUCUCUGGUGAAAAUAGGGACAUGCUAAGGAAAAGCGGGACAUUACGGGAUCAAAUCAGAAACCAGGAUGUAAAUCCAAGAUUGUCCCUGGAAAAUAGGGUCUGAUGCCACUUCCUGUCUGUUCCUGUGGCCUGCUAGUGCCAAUUACAGAAUGUUUAUUCAUGCUAUUAAAAUAGAUUCUGUUUUGAUCGUAUGUCCCUUUUGGAUGGUGAAUAUUAGAAAUGGAGAGAGCUGGGCUCGGAGUCUCCUUCUAGCUUUCAUUAUGCCUUUCAUAACACUUCAAUCAAACUGUGUUGCUCUCUGUUGUUGAUUUAACCUUUGUUGGCGCUAAGAGCUUUAAUUGGCUGCUCAUUUGGCCCUUUUCUUAGAAGCUAAUGCACCAUUACUGGCGUAGGAAGAGGGGCUCUUUGCCAGGCUAAACAGUUGGGAGUUUUCAAAGUGACAAAGCAUAUUACCAAUAGUUUGUGCUUUCCACACAAAGGGCCCCUUCAUAGGUUAUUCCCAGGGCCAAGAAGCAGCAAAAGACCUGGAUGUCUCAGCAGCAUGUUCACCUUGUUCUGCUGGUUGACACAUCACUGAUGUGGUCCAAAGGAAAGCAGAGCAAUACGUUUGGCACCAGCUUGGCUGAAGAAGUCACCAGAAGUUGUAUAAGGCACCGUCCAACCAUCUUAGGGACUCCACUCUGGAUUUGUGUAGGGUUUAUUCCUUAGCCUUUUCUUCUCCCAAAGAUAUCCCACAAGGCAGCAGAGGUUUAGGAUCAGAGUUUUCCUUGUCCUGGAUGGGCUACCUUCCCCAUCUGCCUCUCACUUCCCUCUACAACAUGUGCAAAAGCCACCUUCUUGACCGUUGGACCCACUAUUGGUCUCAUCCACUCAAUCCGCUGCAGCCUGUCUUUGCAUAUAGGAGAAGUCCCUAACUCACUAAUGGCUUGAGACCCAUCAGCUCCCCUCACCUGGUUCAGACAGCCAGUCAAAGCCAUUUCCCAGAGUGUGGUCGCUGUCACAUCCUAACAGCUUCUAGGAGCCACAGGUGAGAGCUCAGUGCGGGGUGGUGGCCAAAGGUGGGAAAACUACCCUAGGAGGAGCAUGACGCCCCCUACCAGAGGCACUACCCCUCCCCUAAUGCCCCAUACACCCCAAUUAUGUGAGUGGAUUUCAUAGGAGCCACCUCCUAGGGGCCAAGGUCCCAUAGAUUAUUUGAGGGGGCUGGAGGUCCCCAAAGUUCAUGGGCAUUGCGACUCAAAUAGUGUCCAUGAGUGAUCACAUCUUGUGAUCCAUUAUGCAGGGUAGGGCUUACCUGCCGCCCCCCAAUAUUUUAUUCAGGUUGACACCCUUGUUGGACGUCAAAUAAUUCUCCCUUGCCCCCAAAAAGCAAAUGAAAAAUAUAAAGCCUUUGCAAAGCGUCAUGACUCCUGCCUCUUUGCAAAAGUUUAACAUGUUGUUUAGUCGUUUAGUCGUGUCCGACUCUUCAUGACCCCAUGGACCAGAGCACUCCAGGCACUCCUGUCUUCCACUGCCUCCCACAGUUUGGUCAUACUCAUGUUUGUAGCUUCGAGAACACUGUCCAACGAUCUCGUCCUCUGUCGUCCCCUUCUUCUUGUGCCCUUCAUCUUUCCCAACAUCAGGGUCUUUCCCAGGGAGUCUUCUCUUCUCAUGAGGUGGCCAAAGUAUUGGAGCCUCAGCUUCACGAUCUGUCCUUCCAGUGAGCACUCAGGGCUGAUUUCCUUAAGAAUGGAUACGUUUGAUCUUCUUGCAGUCCAUGGGACUCUCAAGAGUCUCCUCCAGCACCAUAAUUCAAAAGCAUCAAUUCUUUGGCGAUCAGUUUAACAUACUUAGGGCCAUUUACUCACCAAGAAACUUGCCUGGCUCCUUCAGCCGCUCAGAGAUUGGGGUGGCAGGCCACAGAAUUAUUCUGCUCUGCAAGAGUUGCAUAUGUUCCACAUGCCUCUGGAGCCCGACAUCUCCCCAUAGGAGAGAGACAUGAAUUGCCUUUUGGAUGUUUAUGCAUCCGUUUUUCACUUUUCAUUGCACUAUCUGUAGGGUGAACCCAUAAUAAAGUGAGGAGGGAGUGAAGUGAUGGAUGAUCUGCCACUCCAAAUCCCUGCUGGCUUGUUUCCCGGGAGCAGAUCUUUGCAUUCUGAAAUCCACUCCUGUUGAAACCAAUGGGCACAAAUUAGCUACGUAAGCUCCAGCCUUAAUAUAGUUGAUGGGCCUGAUCCUGGGGCCUCUUGUGCGAAUGAAAGAAGCUUUGGUUCCAGCGGAUGCAUGACCAUCCGGCAACCUGCGCUAGAACGCCUUGUUUGGGGGCUUGCUUUGGCGGUUCCCUCACUGUGAGAAGCAAAGCUACAGGGAACCAGGCAGAGGGCCUUCUUGGUAGUGGCGCCCACCCUGUGGAAUGCCCUCCCAUCAGAUGUCAAAGAGAUAAAAAGCUACCUGACAUUCAGAAGACUUCUGAAGACAGCCAUGUUCAGGGAAGUUUUUAAUGUGUGACAUUUUAAUGUAUUUUUAAUCUUUGUUGGCAGCCGGCCAGAGUGGCUGGGGAACAAAUAACAAAAAUUAUUAUUAUUAUUAUUAUUAUUAUUAUUAUUAUUAUUAUUACUGCUUGUGGAAAAAUCGCAAGGGGCAGGGUUGCCCCUGCCGAGCUCUCUGCAGUUAUACAGAAACUUUCUGCAAUGAGUGCACACAGAUACAUAUUUAUGGAAGGGCAAACACAGAAGUUGCCCAUGGUGCCAAAUUUGAGGCAGCAGCAUUUUCCUGCCUUGCCACUUACAGGCUGCCCUCCUCCCAGACUAGAUAUAUGCACAGGAAGGCAUAUGUUGUUGUGCUGCCGCCGCCACCAUUGCCAUUGAAUAGGAGCAAUUUGUCUCCAAGGUUGAAGCAUAAAAUUACCCAGCAUGCAGUAACACACAUAGCAUGCUGGUUGACUUUGUGCCCUCCACCACUGGGCAAGGGAUGCUGAUCACUCAUAUUGCAGAAGGGCAGCGACUGCACUGCACACCUUCCCACCAAAAAUAAUGGCGAAGGAACAAGUGGAAUAGAUCACUUGCUUGCUCACUCCUGUUUGAGAGCAUUGAGAGUGGAAGGACAGGUGCUAGUGGUGGCUUUUGCACAGGCUAGUAAUGCAUUCUCUUUCUCCCCUUGCCGGAGUGAUAAAAACUUCAGGGUUCAGGCGAAGAGGUCCGAGAGGAUCUCCUCUCCACGCUCCCAGGACAGCUUGCUGAAGAGUAGGAAGAAUCCCUUUACUUGUGUAGUCUUUGAGAUCAAAAUGUGGCAUAACACUAUUAUAAAACCUUUAUGGGAAGGUCAUCCCCCCCCAAGGCCCCCCAGAAUGCUCAACCUGGCUCCCACCCUUUUAGGUCAGUAAUUCCACAAUUGGGCGUCAUGCCACAGUUAAGAACUGCAGCGAACUCCAAAGGAAGUUGGGUUUUUUCUGGGAUUAGCUGCAGGUAUAACCUGUUAUCCUUGUUUCACCAGCCUUUAGCCAUCAAUCCGCAGAUGAGAGAGAGGCAGCCUUCAUUGAAAAGGACUCAUUUGAAACUGAAAAUAUGAACAGAGAGUGUCAGCUACUGCUUUGGUGUCUUCUUUUUUAAAAAAAGAUCACUUUAAAAGGGUAGGAUCACUUUUAGUGUGUUUAUGUUUUGUUGUGCUUUCACUCUCUUUUGUAUUUGCGUUGUGUCUCCCCCCCCCAAUAAAUUACCUAAAGACUUUUCUCUGUAUCGUGAUGAACAAACAACAAUAAUAACAACGAUACAUCGUAAUUAUUAAUAUGACCACUAAUGGAAAUACAAUAAAAUAAUAAUAUUCAUAAUAAUGUAUAUGGGUAUAUGUAUAUGGUGGUUCCCUCAGGGAACCAGACAGAGGGCCUUCUUGGUAGUAGCGCCUGCCCUGUGGAAUACCCUCCCACCAGAUGUCAAGGAAAUAAGCAGCUAUCUUCUUUUUAAAAGACGUCUGAAGGCAGCCCUGUUUAGGGAAGUUUUUAAUAUUUAAUGCUGUAUUGUUUUUAACACUUACCGGUAAUUGGGAGCCGCCCAGAGUGGCUGGGGAAACUCAGCCAGAUGGACGUGGUAUUAAUAUUAUUAUUAUCAUUAUUAUUAUUUUAUUAAUUCUUGCUUACCUCCAGAAGGUUGUCCUUGUUUGCCUGAACCUCUUACAUACCCCACGUUUUAAUAGCUCUGUCAUACAUUCCAAACAUAUUAGGUGAACAUUUGCUCCUUUUAAAGAUGUAACAUCAGAAUAUAAAUGUCAUAAAUUGAAGGAUAUGAGGGAGACAUCUAAAAGACAUCUGCAAGCCCUUCCUAUCUUCUUCUGCCCUUAACACGCUUAUUUGAAUACAAUUUUUCAAACUUUUCCUCUGAAAUGCUGCAUAAUAAAUACAGAAUCUUAGCCAUAUCUCUCUGAUACAUCUUGAGAUGUUUUUGAUUCACAAGUAGAGAAACCCCUCUGCAAGUACUGCUGAGCUGCCUGACAGAUUUAAUUAAUUUACUGACAAGGGCAAAGACAAUCAUUGUGUGUUGAGCAACUUAAUGAAAGCUGGAUUAUGUGACGUCUGCUCUCGGGUGGGUUAUAUUGAUGCCUUUUGCAUGGGGGCAAGUCAAGCAGGAGACCUUUGGCCCUGGAAUCCCUCUUGGGGGGAAUUCCUGGGGUUCUUCUGAUAGCUGGAGAGGGGACAAGUAGUGACCUGAGCUCUUGCCUGAGGCCAUCGCUUUGAAGAGACUGAACGUUUCACCCCUGUGUGUAUCCAAAGGGAACUGGCCGCCGUCGGAGGGUCUCAGAGGGUAGCAGCUCACUAGCACUGGCAGAAUUGACUAACCAAGAUGACAGUGGCCACAAGAGGGUUUCCCCUCUCCCCUCCAGGAUACAAUGUGAGGGCGUUCUAUUAACUUUACAUCUUUCAUAAAUACACACACACACACACACACACACACACACACACAGUUAUACAGUGGUACCUUGGUUCCUGGACGGCUUAGUUUACGAACAAAUCGGCUCCCAAAUGCCACAAACCUGGAAGUAAGUGUUCCGGUUUGUGAACAUUUUUCGGAAGCUGAACGCCCAUUUCGGGUGUCGGCAUUGUUUCCGGAGCCAACCAGACGCCGUGCCUUGGUUUUCAAACGUUUUGGAAGUCAAACAAACUUCCAGAACGGAUUGAGUUCGAGAACUACCACUGUAUAGUUAUAUAGUUAUAGAUUUAGGGUAAACCCUAGAAAUUAAUAAAUUCUAGGAUUGUGAUUAUUUGGGGUGGGAAGGGAGAGAUAUAAGCUGAAGAAGAAUUCCUGGCUAAGCUGGCCAAGCUGGGGCCAUUGAGAGGUCAUUGUGGGUUGUUGCCAAUGCAAGAAAACUCCCCACACCUCCUCUGAGGUGUGAACAGAGACGGGGUUUGAAAGGUUUGAGAGGUGAUGGGCUGUGCCUUUGAGGGGACAGAAAAAGGGUUUCCUGGGAGGAAGAAACAGGAAGAAGGGGUGGGAUCCAUUUUGGGGAAGGCUGGCAACAGGCAGCUUACACUGCUGCCUCUGGGAAUGACUAUGCCGUAAGAUCUAGACUCCCUCCAUGCAGACUGAAGGUGUAAACAGGUGAAUAAACUGUAUUUCUUAAAGCACGACAGUCUGUGCUGUGUCUUCUGUUCUCCAAAGUGACACAGACCCCGUGUGUGUUUGUCUGGGACCCCAUGGGCUCUUGCCACCCACCGCUUGGUGCAGAGAGGAGCAGGCACCCGGUUUUCAUAACAAUAUCAUGCAAGAAGGAGCUAGUAAUAUGCUCUGUAAGGUUCAUCCACCAAAACAAAACUUCCCUAUUCAAGGUUGCCUUCAAAUAUGCCGCUGGUUGAAAAUUAAGAUAGGAAUCUGAGCUGAAGGGGGUGUAGCUAUGCUCGUUGUGAACUGCUGUUGCAAACAGCCGGUGUUAAUGAUGCGAUUGCGAGUCCUGUACAGUCUCCACUUAAUUUCCUUCUGACGUUUCUGACCUUUCUGACUCCACACACACCAACACUUAAACUGCUUUACACUUUCUUACUCUUUAAGAUGCCACAAGAUAACCUUGCUUCUUCAGAAAAAGAAAAAAACACAUUUAGGAGUUCAUAGGAACAUUGACAUCAACACAGAAAACCUGUACAGCCAGUGCUAUUUUUCUAGAAAAAGGGGAGCAGGAACUCACUAUGGAAGGCCUCCCUUGUUCUCUUAGAAUGGCAAUGGCGCCCACCUGAGAGGUGCCAAAACUGAGUUUUCAGGCUGGGGGAAAAAAAGCUCUGUGUGCAGCGUUGCUUGUCUAGCAUAUAAAGCAAUUGGGUAGAAGUGGGGAGCAAUGUGCCACAAAUGGGGAGCAGGGACACCAACACAAAGCAGGUUAACUUCCCCAGUCUCUGCUUUCAACAGAAACAGACACACUUUGUUCCCCAAUCUCUGUAUUUAAGGCACAGGAUGUGAUGGGAGUUGCAGUCCACCAAAGUAAAAAGUGGAAGGAUCCUCUCUUCACAUCAAGAAAACGCCUUUUCAAACUGCUACUUUACAUACAGACGUUAUUUAUUCCCCUAGCUCUGCAUUGUUUGUGAAGAGUUUCUGGAAAUUGUAACUCUUGUGAAGUAUAAACCACACGGAAUUCUUUGAGGGAAAGCAUGUUUUUUAAAGAGAGAGAGAGAGAGAGAGAGAGAGAGAGGGAGCUAUAUAUGAAUGAAUAGUUGUUACACAGGCUAAAAUGUCUUAUUUCCAGCUUUUGGAGUGGUUCCAUCAAACAGUAGACCACUGCCGUUCAUGCAUAGAAUGAGUCACAGCAUAAGACAACCUAUAAAACAUUUAACACCAGUUCAAGAGGAUGGAAGGGCGUGCCUGCAAGCCACACCUGUGUAUUAUUUACCCAGACUUGUGUGGAUUCCUCCCCCGCCCUGGUUUCACUUACAAUUCAAAAGUAUCUAGCAGGCAGGAAGGCUAAAGACAUGGAGAGAACAAGCAUCUCCAAGGCUGGCUUUGAACUUAGCAGCCCCUCUCCCUGUUCCCGCCCCCCUCCGGCACUAUCAAUAAGCAGCAGACAUGUGCAGUUAAAAGAAGAAAGGUAUAAUUACCAGGCCCUCUCCCUAUAAUCUGUCUCUCUCAAGGUGCAAUUGGUUUAUACCUUGGUAUGUAAAUUACUGGUUAAAGACGUUUAAACUGGUCACAUCAAAGAUCUUGCCUAAAAAGAACAUCAAAAGAGACUCUUUCAAAAUUAGUACUAGAAUGAGAUGUUCCCUUUUAAAAAAAAAAAAAAAAACAAGGAAGGACUUGAUCCCAUGAGCUGCUUCCUGCUCGGGCAAGUAAAAAUGCAGGGUAGAAUAUGCCUCCACAAUGUGUGGGUCUCUGGACGUUGAACAGAGCCCACUAGCCACAAAAUGUACUAGCUCGCCAAGGGGCUGAUAAAUGUCAUAUGUUUUCUGCCUUGCAUGGGAGGGUGAAAUAAUAGUGUUACGAAAGUUGGGUGCCACCUGCACUCUCUGCCGAGUGAUUCCAGGGGGUUCCAGGCACUCACCCAGGUUCUGUGUUCCUUUGGAGAACUGAGACACGGCGGAGACUGUCAUAGUUUUAAGAAAUACAGCAGUAUCUCGGGUUAAGUACUUAAUUCGUUCCGGAGGUCCGUACUUAACCUGAAACUGUUCUUAACCUGAAGCACCACUUUAGCUAAUGGGGCCUCCUGCUGUUGCCGCACCGCCGGAGCAAGAUUUCUGUUCACAUCUUGAAGCAAAGUUAUUAACCUGAAGCACUAUUUCUGGGCUAGCGGAGUCUGUAACCUGAAGCGUAUGUAACCUGAGAUACCACUGUAUGGUUUAUUCGCCUAUUUGAACCUUCAGUCUGUGUGGAGGGAGUCCAGAUCUUAUAGCAUGGUUAUUCUGAGAGGGACUUGACAUGGAGUCGAUGGCAUCUUCAGCCAGCCAGCCCAAGACAGAUCCCAGCCUUUUUUCUUCUCUUCUUCUUCUUCCCAGCACACCUUGCUCUAAAGACUCCAUUUUCCUGUCAUUGCGAACUCAUACCCCAUCACCAUGGCAACCUCUGUUUGCCCAGGCUCUCAGAUGAGCCAUCAACACCUUUUGUCAUGUUAAUGCCUCUAUCCCAGGUGAGGCCCUGGCUUGGAAAGGAAGCUUAGCCUGUGCUUUUCCACUGGCCUCCAGUCUUCCCUUCAGUACUCCAAAUAAUCAAAAUCAUUUCUCAUUUAUUAGUUUCUGUUGUUGUUGCCACAAUACAUUUGCUGGACUGCAAUGGUCUCAUUGGGUCAUAAAUUGGCGUGGGGCUCGGUUGAAGGCUCUUGUGUGGAUAUACAAAGUCCUGAACAACUUGUGUCCAGGAUACCUUACGGACUGCCUGGGCUUUUAUAUCCCAGAUUGAUCAACAAGUGCUGCUGGUUGUCCUCCAUAUUGCAAAGGCCUGAUCCGCCUUAACAAGAAGCUGGGCAUUUAGUGCCACCAUCUCAAUGCUGUUGAACACUCUUCUAGCCAAGAUGCAUCCUCCCUUUUGACUUUCAGGCAUCUCAUGGAGAUUUUUUUAUGCCUACAUGCAACUGUUUAAAACCUUUUGAUCUACUGGUUAUUUUAAUUAUUACUUUGUUCUGUUGUUAAUAGUUGUUUCUUAAUGGCACACAGCUUGUUGGACACCGCCCUGGUAUAGUAGCUGCUUUGUGCGGUCAGACACCCCAUUUGGGUGGAUCUCCUCCUCCUCACCCAGGUGAGUAAAGAAGUCAUUGCUAGGAACAGUCCUGGGCACAUGUUGGAAUUCCUGCAUUCAAAUGGCCUGAUUUAGAAGUUUUGGGAAGUGAUCUUUUACACUGGGAUUUUUGUUGGCAUCCGUCUGCCUCGGGAGACAAUGAAGGAGUGCACCUUUGGGGUGAAAUCAAACUGUUGGAAGAUUAUGGCGCCUGCUGUGGCUGUAGAGACCGAUAGGGGAGAGACAUGUUUUGCUGCAGCUGGGGCAGAUGAAGGCGUCUGGUUGUGCUGCUGCAGAUGCACCAUGGCGUUUCUUCUCUCUCUGCUCCUCCCAGAAGUCAUUCCUCCUCUGGUUACUGGUAUGGAUGUACAACCUGACUUGUCUAUCUCUAGGCACUGCAGUCGUCUACAAGGGAUUCACGCACGGCAGGGUUGAUGCUGCCAGCCUUCAUGUCACAUUUGCAGACAUCUUUAUAACGCAGAGCUGGUCUGCCUGGUGCCUGAAGCCAACUCUCUGUAGAGCACGUCCUCGGGGACCCUGCCAUCUUCCAUUCUGUGGAAACAUCACUAAGUGGGCUUGGGAGAGCAAAUCUUUCUUUGAGACUCUGUUCUGCUGUGUCUUCCAAAUCUUCCUGACACAGUGCAUGUGGAAGGCAUUGAGGUGUCGCUCUUGGCGGUUGUAAGUUGCUCAUGUCUCACUUCCAUAAAGCAUUGUGCUCAACCCAUAACCUUGGUAGACCUUCUUUCUUGGUAUUGGACAUUAGCAUCACAUUCCUUUGCAAGGCAGGAAUUCCUCCUCCUCCUCCGCCGCCUCCUCCUCCUCCUCCUCCUCCUCCUCCUCCUCCUCCUCCUCUUCUUCUUCUUUACAACGCCAUUACAGCUACUGUAUGUCAGUUCAAGUACAGUGGUACCUCAGGUUAAGAACUUAAUUCGUUCCGGAGGUCUGUUCUUAACCUGAGGUACCACUUUAGCUAACGGGGCCUCCUGCUGCCGCCGCGCCGCCAGAGCACGAUUUCUGUUCUCAUCCUGAAGCAAAGUUCUUAACCUGAGGUACUAUUUCUGGGUUAGCGGAGUCUGUAACCUGAAGAGUCUGUAACCCAAAAUACCACUGUAUCUUGCUGCACCAUCUCAUUUCUUUUUCUUUUUUUUAAAUAAUUUUCAUUAGAUUUUUUUUUACAAUUUAGAAUAUUAAUUUAUACAGCCUUAAAAUAUCAGUGACUUUCCUUCUUCUCUUUCCAUGGUUCAUUUUACAUAGCAUAAAUCCCUGCAUACAUUUUAUAUAAACUAAACCUUUCAGUAUUCCAUUAUUACUUCUAUCAAAACUUAUUUACACUGUUGAAUUUAUCUUAAUGCUGCCAACGUUUUCAAGUGUACACAAUUUCCCCCCAUAUAUUCAGUAAACAUUUUCCAAUUUUCUUUAAACGAAUAUUCUUCUUGUUCUCUUAUUCUGUACAUUAGAUCUGCAAGCUGCACAUAUUCCAUCAGUUUAAGUUGCCAUUCUUCUUUGGUCGGGACCGCACUCGUUUUCCGUUUUUGGAAACAAAACACGGGCCACCAUAGUGGCAUACAUAAAUAGCCUUUUUUUUGACACCUGGGAAUUUCCAUCUGAAUUAUCCUCAGCAAAAAGGACUCUGGUUUUUGUUGUUGUUUGUUUGGAAAGGUGCUUUUAAACAUUUUUUUCAAUUUGUUUUAAAUUAUUUCCCAAUACUCUUUUACCCUUUUACAGGUCAACCACAUUUCUCAUAACAUUCAGAACUGGUGCCUGGGUUUGCUUGCAUUCCUCUUCCCUCCUCUUUCCUUUUCCCUUUUGUGUCAGGUUUUUAAAAAAACAUUGUAAGCCUGAGGGCCGUGACUCUAUUAUCUUCAUCAAUUCAUAAGUCAUGGUUGAGAGCUUUUCUUUCUGAAGAGUGUGGUAAAAAUGCUCUGAAUGAAUGAAUGUGUUACAAUGUUAGCAUUCCAGUGAAUUGUGUUCUCUGCUUUGAUUAUAAUUACGUCUGCCAGCUUUAACUGGUUUAUUAAGUGGUUUGAAUCAACAAAGCUAAUUUAUCAGUCCUGAUUUUAAUUGGUUCAGCUGUGAAUUAAGGACACAACCCUAAUUUCCUAAGCCUUUUUUUUUUUUUUUGUCCGUUAUUGAAGUUGGGCAUGAAAAAUAAAAUCUUUAAGUGAAUUUUCCUUCUAACAAUGAUUGGUAUCAUUUGAUUGCUGUUGAAUUAUAAAUGCUUUUGACACUUCAUUCAGGAUCUCAAAAAUUAUGCCUAUUUGGGUAUAAUACAGUUUGAUUUAAAUUUAAUCCAUUAAUGAAAUAAUCCAUCAUCUGAAAGGUAGACAAUUGAUCAACUAAAAUAUUAUAGCUGAGUGACAGCUCCAGUUACACUUAAUUGAUUUUUUUAAAAUUUUAAUUAAGGCACAACCCUUCAAUUUAACUCAAAGAAACAUAAUGUAAUGCCCAGUCCCCUCCAGCUAGUUUGUAACAAAAACAUUUUUCUGUUUUAAACAGUUUUAUUUUUAUUAUUAUUCUGGGAUUCAGGGUUUCCUGGCUUAGGUCUAGGGAGCGGUUCAUUUCUUUCAUUGUCAGGUGCACUCCUGAGUAGGUAUUAAUCAGGGCAGGGAAUAAAAAGCCUGCCUAUAGGCAGGAAUAUAUUUGUGUACUAAUAAUAGUUCUGGCAUUACUUGACAAAAACCAGGGAGAGGAGAGGGAUGGAAAUCCAAGGGGAGCACAACUUCUCUGGCCCUCUAUGCUUUAGAUUCCCCCAUUGCAUAUACAGUGGUACCUCGGGUUAAGUACUUAAUUCGUUCUGGAGGUCCGUUCUUAACCUGAAACUGUUCUUAACCUGAAGCACCACUUUAGCUAAUGGGGCCUCUUGCUGCUGUCGCGCUGCCGGAGCACGAUUUCUGUUCUCAUCCUGAAGCAAAGUUCUUAACCUGAAGCACUAUUUCUGGGUUAGCAGAGUCUGUAACCUGAAGCGUCUGUAACCCGAGGUACCACUGUACAUAUUGUUAACUUUCCUGUAUUUGACACUGAAGCUAGACUUCCUUCUCCUCCAGUAAAUAAUAAAUAGGGGCUUUGUCCUUUCUAGUUGACAGUGGGUGAGAGUAGAAGGUAGAUCUGGAUCUACUGGUAAUAGAUCUCUAGGUGAUUUUCAGGAAAUCAGCAAAUAUUUCUGAUUCCAACUUAGCAACACCCAAAUUACCCCCUCCCUCUUAAUUAUACUGCUGAAAGUGUGGCGGUCACCAAAAGUUAACUCAGUUCAGUCUUGGUACUCAACAUGAAUUCUUGCGCUUGGGAUUCCUCAAUUCUAAUUUUGUCUUUUGCACCAAGCACUGUUCUAGUUAAAUCAAAGAAACCGCAAGGGAAAUUGCAGAAGCCUCAAGUCUGACCACCCCUAAUCUAAGCUGUCUUGGUCCCAUUCAGGUGUCCAGUUCCUGUUGUGGGUGCCAGAUUUAGUCGUUGGAGAAAUCCGAUGAAAAUGGAGACAGGAACAGGAACUGUUGGUGUUCACUUAUUUGUCCCAUUUCCAGAAUGCAAAUCAAUUCAGCUAAAUCGUUUGAGCUGUGAUUCCUGCAUUGCAGGAGGCUGGACUAGAUGGCCCUUGAGGUACCUUCCAACUCUACUAUUCAAUGAAUACGAUUGGUAUUUGCGGUGAUGGUUGUUUUCCGUCUGCAAUUGAUGCCGAAUUGAUUAUUUCCUCCUCUUUGCAGUGUGUUUCAUUUGCAUUGAAAUGAAUGCUACGACAAAACGACGUAACAAUAAUGCAAUUAAAGAUGUAAAAUUCUGCCAUAACAGAUGAAUACUGUAGUUUUUGUUGGAAGCUGAAUUGCAGUGGAACAGAAACAGUGCUGCAUGUGGUGAACAUGGGUCAGAAUAGAAUCAGUGCCCUAAGGCUAAGAUAGCUCAGUCAGUAGAGCAUAAGACACUUAAUCUCAGCGUUGUUGGUUUGAGCCCCGUGUUGGGCAAAAGAUUGUUGCAUUGCAGGGCUUUGGACUAGAGCAGGCAUAGGCAAACUCGGCCCUCCAGAUGUUUUGUGACUACAACUCCCAUAAUCUCUAGCUAACAGGACCAAUGGUCAGGGAUGAUGGGAGUUGUAGUUCCAAAACAUCUGGAGGUACGAGUUUGCCAAUGCCUGGACUAGAUGACCCUCAUGGUCCCUUCCAGCUCAACAGUUCUAUGCUUCUUGCAUCCUUAGUGACAAAUGUGCAAAGAAGCUAGUGAGAAUAGUUGAGCUACAUCCCAUGAAAAUAACAAAAGCCUUGGUUUAGCCUCUUGGCCAUCUGCAUGGUGCCACUUUGAAGGGAUGAGAGCUUUCUCUGCAGGGAUGGGGACCCUAAUUGAGCGAGGCAGACACAUGCACCCUUCAAACUGCUGCUGCACAGGCACCAGGUGUUAUGCGUGGCAUUCUCAUCUGCACGUCCUCACCAGGCCCCUUCAGUGUGGUUGAUUCCCUUGGAGAGUCUCACUCAAAAAAACAGGCCUCCUUGUGCUUCUUUCACUUCCAGCCUGCAAAGAGAAUAGGAGGAGGAAACAGUUGGGGCUUCCCUGUUCAAGCAGCAUGUUUUCCCCCUGAGGAUGGGUGAGGAGGGCCUUCCCCUGUAUCUGCAUUGAGUAAAUUAAAAUCCGUCUUGAUUUUAAUUUCUGGGAGGGUGGUGGAGACUUGGAAGGGAAUGGGAGCUUUUCCAGCCGUGAUGCCUUUCUAAAAGGAUUAGCAAGCCUUGAGCAAGCCUAGGGCUUUUUUCUGCACGGUGCGUUCCAUCGUUCAAACAUCCCAGGGCAUGCACACGGCCCAGCCAGUCCCUGUCCCACAAGAAAAGGCUCCUUCAUAAUUUCCUUUAUACUGGGGGGAGGAACUUGAGGAAUCAGAGAUGGGGCUUUGAUGUGUGGAGCCAUUCCCAACACUCCCCCCACCCCUCCUGACUCUGCUUGCUCACCCUUAACCCAUGUCAGGUGCCCGGCUGUAAAAGGAGCCAGGUCUGGUUCUCUUUUUACAGCUGCGUUUGAGGAAGGAAUCUCAGCACCCAGUGCUUUUCUCCCCUAUGCAUGUCAACGUUGCACACUUACCAAAACAAAAGAGGAGCCGCGGCCCAUUUUUGCAUUUGAUCAUUCCAGUAUCACAGCCUUAGCACCAUCACCCCGUCCGUUCUUUGCACUCAAGCAAAGUAAAAAUACCUGAGCUGCAGGAUUCCAAUUGGCAUGAUUUCUCUUUACUUUGCACUAACUGAGUCUGCAGUUUAAAACUGUUUUUAAAUUAAAUAAUAAAAACAAAACAUUUUUAAAAAAAUAACCACCAAAAAAUAAUAAUACAAGAUUUUACUUCGCUGGAACAUCUAGCUUCGUAUUGUCAGCUCUAAUUGGUAGUGGCUUUCCAAGGUCUUUCACACCCCUUGCUACAUGACACUUUGAAUGGGAGAUGCUGGGGAUUUAGCCUUCAGCCUUCUGCAUGCCAAGCACACGUCCUAAUUCUUAUAUCACCCAUAUGGUGUGAAAUGGCACACUUAGUGUCCAUGCGCAUGCAUUUAUACCUAUUUGCAUUAGAGACAGGAUUAGGGUUGCCAGGUUAGGAGCAUCCCUGACCCUGAGAUUUCAAGGCCCAAACCUUAGACCAGGCAUAGGCAAACUCGGUCCUCCAGAUGUUUUGGGACUACAACUCCCAUCAUCCCUAGCUAACAGGACCAGUGGUCAGGGAUGAUGGGAGUUGUAGUCCCAAAACAUCUGGAGGUACGAGUUUGCCUUUGCUUGCCUUAGACCUAGCGGAGGCCCCAUGUGAUGUCACGGGAAGGUGACUGAAAGCAAGGCCCUAUUAUCAGCACUGUCAGGUGCAUGACAGGUCUACCUCGGGACCAAGUUGAAAGGGAAGAAUCUAAUUUUGCAGAUUUAGCCAUGACUUGAGUUCAAACCAUGGCAAUGAGGGAGAGUCUUCCUUGUCCCCACAGCUUGAAUAACUUCUGCAAAAUUAGAGGGUGCUCCCAAUGCAUCCAUUUCCAUUUGUCCCCAACAUUUACUGCUAGGAAGAGUCCCAUGGAUGCAGGAGACAAAAUUGUUUUGCUUAAGGAUUGUCCACAUUUGAGCAUUAUUUAACUGCUAAUCCACCCCCUGCCCCCCAAUUCGGAUUAGGCAGUAGCAGUCCACACCCGCAGGUUUUUGAAUUUGUAUGUGAGAAGCAACUUCCAUCCUUCCUGUUCAUACCAGUAGGCUUUCUCUUUUGUGUUUGUCGCUGCCUUCUAAUCUGAUUGUUCUGUUAUGCCUGUUAAAUAACAAUAGGCAUGAGGACAGAUAGCUGUGAGCACAUAUUAUUAAUUAAUUUAUUUAGCUCCACCCCAAAACAUGUGCAAAACCAUUGCAAAGUUGCAUGUGCAAAUCUGUGGGCUCAAAAGAGGGGGAGGGGUUCAGUUCAGGAGCAAACCAGAAUUAGUUCACAAUCACAGCCAGAAAGAAAAGCCUUGAGGAAGUAGUGAGCAUAGAAAGGGGAGUGGCAGAAAGUGUUGAUGGAUCCACUUACCCCAGAACUCCAAAGCAAGGUAGCUCAGUCGGUAAAGCAUGAGACUCUUAAUCUCAGGGUUGUGGGUUUGAGCGCCACAUUGGGCAAAAGAUUCCUGCAUUGCAAGGGUUGAAUUAGGAUCCUAGUGGUCCCUGCCAACUCUACAAUUCUGUGGUUCUAAAUCACCUGUGACCCGAGUGGGACAGUUUGGAGCCCAAUUUCUCCCAUCUUAUCUUAUUAUCCCCACUAUCAGGUAAACCCAGGUUUUAAAAGAGGGCACUCAGAUUGUGAUGUUUGAGGUUGUUAUCAUGUGGACCACACAAAGUAAAUGUGAAUGCAAACAGCUGCAAACACACAGUAAACUCUGGUGUGGACACUGGACAGCUUUUCUGCUGGGCCAGCACCUCUACUACAGCUAUUUCUUUAAACUGAAAAUUCAGAUUCACGUGUUCUGGUGGUGGUAGCCAGCACACAAGCUGUGUGAGAGAAGGAUGAUUUCAAAAUUAUAGCUGCGGAACAGGACGUCUGUGGAUGAUGGAGGCGUUAAACAUAACAGACUUUUACUGUAGCCAGUAAAAGUCUAGUAUUUCUUUAACUAGCACUCCCGUUGCCCUUAAGCAUGCAAAAAUAUAUACAGGUGCUUGCUUGAUUUAUAUCCUUUCCAACAGGCUAUUCGCAAAGCACAUAAAGCUGAGCAGCUGUUUAAAUCUUUGCAGGAUCUUUGCCAUUGUUCCCUUUAGCUUUGCAGCUGUAUCAACUGAUGGCAACAGAAGGGAUUUUUAAAGAUGUUAAAAAAUGACCCCACUGAGAAAAAGCUUUACCAGUUGGAGGGCUUCAAAGCGCUUCUAGAACGUAAAGAACAGCAACAGCUUUGAAAAGCUGCAUGAAUCAUAAUAUUCCUCCACAAUGUUAUUACACACAUAUAAUUUACUUUAUUGCAGAAGAGCUUUGAAUCCCCUUUCUCAGUAGCUGUUCCCAACGAGAGUCCAGCUAAUGAAAUCAUGGUGCCAAGCAGGGAAACUUUUUUUGUACAUACUUAAAGCAUAUGUCCAUAAAGAAAUGCAGUGAACUCAGCUGACUACCCUUUCCUGUAAACGCCGUUCAUGGGAAAGAUGGGCAGGACCAAGAAAUUUCCCAAUCCCUGAACCGUUUUGCCAGCAAAAGAAGCAGCUAGCAGUUAGGGUGAGCAGAAACUGGCUUGGUCUCCUUUUUGUGACUUUUUCGGGACUUCAAAAUCACUAGGUGGUUCCCCCACCCCAACAACCGAGAGAUAAAUAGCAACUUCUGAACAUCAAAAAUGCUGUUAGUAGGGGCGGAGGAGGAAUCUGUUUUAAAUGCAUUUAUACACAGAAUUGGGUGAUUCUGACCAGUCGAGCUAAUAAUAUGCAAACAAUGCAUAUAUGUAUCAGGGAGUUAUCACGACAGAUAGAAGGAAGUUUUCAUGCAGCACAUAAACAAUGGCACUUGUCCCCAAAGGAGGCAGUGAGGGCCACCAGCUUGGAUGUCUUUAAAAGAGCAUUAGACAAAUUCAUGGAGGAGAAGGUUACUGAUGACCACUAGUCACGAUGGCUACGCUCUGCCACCAUAAGUUGGAAGUAGUAAUGUUUCUGAAAGCCUCUCCUCCUCCCAGAGGGGAGGAGUCGUGAUUGGGAGCCGUCCCCGCAUUUUGCAGGGGGCGUUCCGGCCCUUGCUUGCCGUCACUGCUGCCGCGCCGUGCUCCUGGGCAGCCAACCAAUCGAAGGGAGGCUCGGGGGCGGGGUUUAGCUGCUCAAAUGUGGCUGCGGCAGCCCUUUGCUAGAAGCCACAGUGGGAGAGAGUGUUUUAUGUUCAAAUCUUGCUUGCAGGUUUCCCAUAGGCCUCUGGUCGGCCACCAUGAGAACAAGAUGCCAGACUUGAUGGGUCAUGGGCCUGAUCCAGCAGACUCUUAAGUUCUUACAUUUUUAUGCCCUGAGUGGUACUAUAUAUUUUCAGCAAAUUCUUUAAAGUAUUAACACAUGCAUAUUUUAAUACAGCUAGAUGCAUUGUUAUAUCUGUUUAUGUGUUGGCUGAUUGAGGAAACUUUAUAGUGUCAAUGCAUAUAAAUAUGAUGUUUUUAUUUUUUAUUAUUAGUUAACUUUGUAUACCCCCCUAGGUCCCAGGGCAGUUUGCAACAGAAAAAUACAAAAUCAGAUUACAAAAUAUAUAAUAAAAAGCGAAAGCAAACCGAUACCCCGCACUCCCACGAACACAUUUUAAGAGCCCUAGUAUGUUAAUCAGCCUAAUGCCUGUUAGAAGAAAAAAGUUUUCACCUGGCGCCUAAAGACAUGUAAGGAAGGUGCCAGGUGAGCGUCCUUGGGGAGAGCAAUCCACGAAAGGGGAGCCACCGCAGAAAAGGCAUUGAGAAGUAUUCCUAUCUUUAGCAGAACUGGUCAAACAAACAAACAAACACCUCCUUGCUUCUCAUUGAGCUCAAGGAAGAGAAAGGGAUUGGGUGUGUGUGAAACUAUGUGGAUAAGCUUUCGUGUGGGUCUUCAGAAAAUUCCAUCCCUAGCUGCCAUUUGAGAAGCUGGUAACCAUAGUAGCUAACGAGCUCAUUGGCUGUUUUUUUGAUGCUGUGGUUGAAGCCCAAGGUGCAAAAUCCCAUUUCCCCAAUGUGCUGUACGGGAGAUGAUUUCUGGUGGGUGGGCUGCAAGCCAUAUUAUUCAGAUAUUUGUUUUAUAUCAUUAUAGAAGGUUCAGCCUAAUUUAGACACAAGAGGUAGGACCCUCUAGCCUAUGCCAUUUAGGGCAGUUGCUCUACUCUCUUUGCCCAGUGCUUUUUCAAAGGCCAUAAUAAACCAUAAUGUAAACAUCCACUCUGCAAUAAACACCUUUUACCACUGCCUAGUAUCAAUUAAUCUGAUAUAACUUAUUUUAUUGAGGGUUUUAGUGUGGCAUAAAAGUUGUUAGUUCACCUGUAUUCCCCAGAGGCUCCAAUGGAAAGUGUUGCAACAAUUUUCCUUCUGGAUCUGACACUUAGGCAUGGUAUAUAGGCUGCUGCAAAAAGACAUGUCAUUUCAAAGGACCUCGGAGACUUUUAAGAGCAUGAUCCAGCGGUUUCAAAUGGAGAGAUUUAAGCAUUUGCUGGAUGAUUAUCCCACUGAAAUCAUUGGGAUGUAAAACACACCCACACACCCACACCCAUCAAGCAGCAUACAUGCAAUUCCAAGGUGACACUUACUGGGCCAGAUCUGCUUAGUUUCAGCAGCAUAACCUUCCUUCAGAUCAAUAUAUGAUCUGCACAAAAUUUGGUGUUGGUCAGCAGCAACCCUAACCCCACUUACGUGAGAGUAAGACCCACUGAAUUGAAUUGAACUUAGAAGCAGACAUGGUUAGAAUUCAUCCUUAGCCAUUUUUAGCCCAUUUCACCUGCUGUUUUAUAUGAUUGGGUAGUGAGAGUGCUGUUACUUCUUACUGCUGUUAUUUUAAGAUUCCUGCUAUUGCUUUUGUUGGUUGUGAUAUUGGUUUCAUAAUUUUAAUAGAUGACUUGCAUGUUUUGAUGUUGAGUGUUUCAUUGUUUGCCCUUUUUAAUGAAAAACUGCAUUGAAGAGCCCUUUGCACCAAAUGACAAUAUUAAAAGUAAAGGACAGUUAUAAUUGCCCUUCUGAGAACCCAACUGAGACAAUAAGACAGGAGUGCUACAAUAUGGCUUCUUCUUCCACAUGGUGCCAUUUGCCAAGAGUUGACUGGGCAAGCACAGACUGUGGGUCACAAGGGAUUGCUCCCAGGUCUGUAGGUGUGCUCACACUUUCAUGGGGACACAUGUAGUCGCUAAAAGGCUCAUUUCUGAGAAUUCUCAAUAUUACUCUUAGGAUAUUUACUGGAAAUGAUUGCAUACACACAGAAUUGCAUUGACCUUGAUGACUCUGCUUAGUCUGGAUGAUUAAGAUCAAUAUUAGUGUGCUUGCUCCAGAGUAGCCCUGCAACCUAAAUUAAUAGGUGUGAAUAAAUGUAAACUGGGAAAAGAUGCAAUCCCCCAUCUUACACCAGUGCUGACUAACACAAUAAGAGCUUGCCUACCCACCACAGUGAUACUUGGAUUGCAGUGGUUCUCAACCUGUGGGUCCCCAGAUGUUGUUGGACUACAACUCCCAUCAUCCCUGAGCUCUGGCCUUGCUAGCUAGGGGUGAUGGGAGUUGUAGUUUAACAACAUCUGGGGACCCACAGGUUGAGAAAGGCUGGCUUAGAGGAAAGCCAAAUCUCACACACCAUUCUGGGGCAUGUGCAGAGUUUCAACUGAAUGGAGCUACUCAGUAACAUAGUAUGCUUACAAUAUUAUGAAGACCUGGUUAGCAUGUUGUGGGAGAUUUUGCAGUCAAACCUAACAACCCAUGUCUAUGCUAGCUAGUAAAUGUAGGUGUUAAGGACCACAGAGCUGUAAAUUGCUAGAGAAGGCUCAGCUUGGUCAUGACCCAUCAACCCCAGAGAGGGAGGACAUAACGUUUUAUUUUUCUGUUCUCUCCCUCUCUUGUCUUCUUGAACCAUGUAACUAACCAGACGUAUUAUGCUUGAGCUCCCAUGCCCAGACUCCAUGUUUAAAGAUACUUUUUGUCUUUUGUACUUAAUAACUUUUUACUUGUGUUGUUUCUGCUGUAGCAUUGAACGAUGCUUGUACUCUGGAGGAUAGGAAUCAAACCAAUGGCUUCAAGUUACAAGAAAGGAGAUUCUGACUAAACAUCAGGAAGAACUUUCUGAGAAUAAGAUCCUUGUUGUCCCUUCCAACUCUACAGUUCUAAAAUUCUAUGAUGCAUGAGUGAGACCUUUGAUUACU